GUCGAACGCGAAAGGGGCUUCGGCCCUGAGUAGAGUGGCGAACGGGUGAGUAACACGUGGGUGAUCUACCUCUGAGUGGGGGAUAACGUUCCGAAAGGAGCGCUAAUACCGCAUGACGUUCCGGGUUUGAAGACCUGGAAACCAAAGCCGGGGACCGCAAGGCCUGGCGCUUGGAGAGGAGCCCGCGCCUGAUUAGCUAGUUGGCGGGGUAAUGGCCCACCAAGGCGACGAUCAGUAGCCGGCCUGAGAGGGCGGACGGCCACACUGGGACUGAGACACGGCCCAGACUCCUACGGGAGGCAGCAGUGGGGAAUUGUUCGCAAUGGGCGCAAGCCUGACGACGCAACGCCGCGUGGAGGAUGAAGGUCUUCGGAUUGUAAACUCCUGUUGAUCGGGACGAAUGGGCUCCGGGUGAAUACUCCGGGGCAGUGACGGUACCGAUUGAGGAAGCCACGGCUAACUCUGUGCCAGCAGCCGCGGUAAUACAGAGGUGGCAAGCGUUGUUCGGAAUUACUGGGCGUAAAGGGCGCGUAGGCGGCCUUGUCAGUCAGACGUGAAAUCCCCGGGCUUAACUCGGGAACUGCGUCUGAUACUACAAGGCUGGAGUUCGGGAGAGGGAUGUGGAAUUCCAGGUGUAGCGGUGAAAUGCGUAGAUAUCUGGAGGAACACCGGUGGCGAAGGCGGCAUCCUGGACCGAAACUGACGCUGAGGCGCGAAAGCCAGGGGAGCAAACGGGAUUAGAUACCCCGGUAGUCCUGGCCCUAAAC
This 767-nucleotide ribosomal RNA is filed under the name uncultured bacterium. Its description in RNAcentral is "bacterial SSU rRNA". It matches the Rfam family "Bacterial small subunit ribosomal RNA", at positions 61 to 807 of the family's 1533-position model. The record is from RNAcentral.